CCGGAAAUGAACCAUACAACCCAUUAGAGAAGGUGAACGAUGCAAAAUUCCAGCUUUUAACUGAUAUCAUCAAUGGACCAGAUGUGGUCCACACAGUUUUUGGAUUACGAAAACUAGAGAACCGGUUUUUCGCCACCCUUGCAGAACCUGGUGAAUGGGUUCAAUCUAAUCACUUGGAAAUGAUCGCCCUCAUGAUGUGGCACAAGAAUGGAGAACAUAUGAGGAAAACUCGGGCAAUUGUUUUGGAUUCAUUACUCACGUACGAUCUCUCAUGGCGUGCAAAUGAAUUCAGUCGGUGUAAAAAAAAGGAGAGUUUCAAAUGGGGUGAACUGCUCUACGAAAUUGCAAAUGGUGAACGCAUUAACCGUCAACCUAUGCUCAAGUGGCUAAAGGACGUCGACG
Molecule: long non-coding RNA, 402 nt
Organism: Arabidopsis lyrata subsp. lyrata
Lineage: Eukaryota; Viridiplantae; Streptophyta; Magnoliopsida; Brassicales; Brassicaceae
Exons: 3
Source: RefSeq, a predicted model, not a curated record